UACGUAGGGUGCAAGCGUUAUCCGGAAUUAUUGGGCGUAAAGAGCUCGUAGGCGGUUUGUCGCGUCUGCUGUGAAAGACCGGGGCUCAACUCCGGUUCUGCAGUGGGUACGGGCAGACUAGAGUGCAGUAGGGGAGACUGGAAUUCCUGGUGUAGCGGUGAAAUGCGCAGAUAUCAGGAGGAACACCGGUGGCGAAGGCGGGUCUCUGGGCCGAUACUGACGCUGAGGAGCGAAAGCGUGGGGAGCGAACAGG
This 253-nucleotide ribosomal RNA is filed under the name uncultured bacterium. Its description in RNAcentral is "partial 16S ribosomal RNA". It matches the Rfam family "Bacterial small subunit ribosomal RNA", at positions 524 to 776 of the family's 1533-position model. The record is from RNAcentral.